Molecule: ribosomal RNA, 312 nt
Filed under: Triticum aestivum (bread wheat)
Lineage: Eukaryota; Viridiplantae; Streptophyta; Magnoliopsida; Poales; Poaceae
Description: partial small subunit ribosomal RNA
Source: RNAcentral
AUCAACGUGUUGCAGUGCUCCCCUGUCUUUGCUAAGCUUGUUGAAGGUCAUCCUCCUCCGGUGAACUUCGAGGUCAAUGGCCGGCACUACAACAAGGCAUACUAUCUAGUUGAUGGCAUCUAUCCGAGAUGGUCUACAUUUGUGAAGACUAUCUCAAACCCUGUGCCAGGAGGCAAGAACUCUCACUUUGCGAAGGUUCAGGAGGCUUGCAGGAAGGAUGUCGAGCGGGCAUUUGGUAUGCUCCAAUCUCGAUUUACUGUUGUCUGGUACCCCGUUCAGACCUGGUCGAAAGAUCAAAUGUGGGGAUCAUGA